RNAcentral lists this transfer RNA (64 nucleotides) under Conostigmus sp. MM-2013. RNAcentral's name for it is "tRNA-Val". Lineage: Eukaryota; Metazoa; Arthropoda; Insecta; Hymenoptera; Megaspilidae. The record is from RNAcentral.
UUAAAUUUAGUUUAUUUAAAACAAAUUAUUUACAUUAAUUAGAUAUUUUAAAAAUUAAUUUAAA